RNAcentral lists this ribosomal RNA (253 nucleotides) under uncultured bacterium. Its description in RNAcentral is "partial 16S ribosomal RNA". It matches the Rfam family "Bacterial small subunit ribosomal RNA", at positions 524 to 776 of the family's 1533-position model. The record is from RNAcentral.
UACGUAGGGUGCGAGCGUUGUCCGGAAUUACUGGGCGUAAAGAGCUUGUAGGUGGUUUGUCGCGUUGUUCGUGAAAACUCACAGCUCAACUGUGGGCGUGCGGGCGAUACGGGCAGACUUGAGUACUGCAGGGGAGACUGGAAUUCCUGGUGUAGCGGUGGAAUGCGCAGAUAUCAGGAGGAACACCGGUGGCGAAGGCGGGUCUCUGGGCAGUAACUGACGCUGAGGAGCGAAAGCGUGGGGAGCGAACAGG